This 301-nucleotide ribosomal RNA is filed under the name uncultured bacterium. RNAcentral describes it as "partial 16S ribosomal RNA". It matches the Rfam family "Bacterial small subunit ribosomal RNA", at positions 509 to 807 of the family's 1533-position model. The record is from RNAcentral.
CAGCCGCCGCGGUAAUACGAAGGGUGCAAGCGUUAAUCGGAAUUACGGGGCGUAAAGCGUGCGCAGGCGGUUUGUUAAGACAGAUGUGAAAUCCCCGGGCUCAACCUGGGAACUGCAUUUGUGACUGGCAAGCUAGAGUGUGGCAGAGGGGGGUGGAAUUCCGCGUGUAGCAGCGAAAUGCGUAGAUAUGCGGAGGAACACCGAUGGCGAAGGCAGCCCCCUGGGCCAAUACUGACGCUCAUGCACGAAAGCGUGGGGAGCAAACAGGAUUAGAUACCCCCGUAGUCCCUGUCUCUUAUAC